This 330-nucleotide ribosomal RNA is filed under the name Mycoplasmoides pirum. RNAcentral describes it as "bacterial LSU rRNA". It matches the Rfam family "Bacterial large subunit ribosomal RNA", at positions 1171 to 1509 of the family's 2925-position model. Lineage: Bacteria; Bacillati; Mycoplasmatota; Mycoplasmoidales; Mycoplasmoidaceae. The record is from RNAcentral.
UGUAACGGGGCUAAGCAUAUUACCGAAUUUAUCGGAUGAUACGCAAGUAUCGUGGUAGACGAGCGUUGUAUUCUGGGAUGAAGCCAAACCGUGAGGAUUGGUGGACUGAAUACAAGUGAGAAUGCCGGUGUAAGUAACGCUUGAGAGUGAGAAUCUCUCAAACCGAUUGACUAAGGUUUCCUGGACGAGGGUCGUCCUUCCAGGGUUAGUCUGGACCUAAGGUGAGGCUGAAAAGCGUAAUCGAUGGACAACAGGUUAAUAUUCCUGUACCGACAAUGCAACUGAUGGAGUGACGGAGAAGGUUAAUGGUUCCCUAUUAUCGGAUUUAGG